RNAcentral lists this ribosomal RNA (253 nucleotides) under uncultured bacterium. Its description in RNAcentral is "partial 16S ribosomal RNA". It matches the Rfam family "Bacterial small subunit ribosomal RNA", at positions 524 to 776 of the family's 1533-position model. The record is from RNAcentral.
UACGUAGGUGGCGAGCGUUGUCCGGAUUUACUGGGCGUAAAGGGAGCGUAGGCGGACUUUUAAGUGAGAUGUGAAAUACUCGGGCUCAGCUUGAGUGCUGCAUUUCAAACUGGAAGUCUAGAGUGCAGGAGAGGAGAAUGGAAUUCCUAGUGUAGCGGUGAAAUGCGUAGAGAUUAGGAAGAACACCAGUGGCGAAGGCGAUUCUCUGGACUGUGACUGACGCUGAGGCUCGAAAGCGUGGGGAGCAAACAGG